RNAcentral lists this ribosomal RNA (444 nucleotides) under uncultured bacterium. Its description in RNAcentral is "partial 16S ribosomal RNA". It matches the Rfam family "Bacterial small subunit ribosomal RNA", at positions 338 to 795 of the family's 1533-position model. The record is from RNAcentral.
CCUACGGGUGGCUGCAGUGGGGGAUAUUGGACAAUGGGGGGGAACCCUGAUCCAGCGACGCUGCGUGAGUGAAGAAGUAUUUCGGUAUGUAAAGCUCUGUCAGCAGGGAAGACAGCAAUGACGGUAUCUGACCAAGAAGCCCCGGUGAACUACGUGCCAGCAGCCGCGGUAAUACGUAGGGGGCAAGCGUUAUCCGGAAUUACGGGGUGUAAAGGGUGCGUAGACGGCUGUGCAAGACUGGAGUGAAAGGCGGGGGCCCAACCCCCGGACUGCUCUGGAAACUGGAGGGCGGGAGUGCAGGAGAGGUAAGCGGAAUUCCUAGUGUAGCGGUGAAAUGCGUAGAUAUUAGGAGGAACACCAGUGGCGAAGGCGGCGUACUGGACGGUAACUGACGUUGAGGCUCGAAAGCGUGGGGAGCAAACAGGAUUAGAUACCCCUGUAGUC